Molecule: microRNA, 22 nt
Filed under: Callorhinchus milii (elephant shark)
Lineage: Eukaryota; Metazoa; Chordata; Chondrichthyes; Chimaeriformes; Callorhinchidae
Description: eshark_NOVEL_224
Source: RNAcentral
ACCUUGUGUGGUUCUCGCCAGC